Molecule: ribosomal RNA, 252 nt
Filed under: uncultured microorganism
Description: partial 16S ribosomal RNA
Rfam family: Bacterial small subunit ribosomal RNA
Source: RNAcentral
GAGUUUGAUCGUGGCUCAGAUUGAACGCUGGCGGCAGGCUUAACACAUGCAAGUCGAGCGGGGGAGGUUGCUUCGGUAACUGACCUAGCGGCGGACGGGUGAGUAAUACUUAGGAAUCUGCCUAUUAAUGGGGACGAACAUCUCGAAAGGGAUGCUAAUACCGCAUACGCCCUACGGGGAAGGACAGGGGAGUCACUUGUGACCUUGCGUUAAUAGAUGAGCCUAAGUCGGAUUAGCUAGUUGGUGGGUAAA